CUUGAAAAACUAUAUUUUGAAGAGUAUAAUGACAUUACAUUGCACAUGUUUACAAUGAAAAAUCAGUUUUAAUAUUGUGUGACAACAUAUUUUUAUAUUGCAUUAAACUACAGAGCAAUCAGUCUACAAAAAAACAUAGGAAAAAUUGUCUCACAUAUUCAUUGGUGAUACAUUUAGUAUAAAUGCCAUGGAUAAACUGUCAACUGAGUGGAAAACUAGCACUGCAUCUAAUCACAGCUGAGUAACAAAUACACCAAGUGAUAUGUGACUUUACACAUCCAUAUUUAU
This is a long non-coding RNA of Saccostrea cuccullata (small rock oyster), 288 nucleotides long. RefSeq lists it as uncharacterized. The record is from RefSeq and is a predicted model, not a curated record. NCBI's taxonomy places the organism in Eukaryota, Metazoa, Mollusca, Bivalvia, Ostreida, Ostreidae. The transcript is spliced from 2 exons.